UACGUAGGGCGCAAGCGUUGUCCGGAAUUAUUGGGCGUAAAGAGCUCGUAGGCGGCUUGUCACGUCGGGUGUGAAAGCCCGGGGCUUAACCCCGGGUCUGCAUUCGAUACGGGCUAGCUAGAGUGUGGUAGGGGAGAUCGGAAUUCCUGGUGUAGCGGUGAGAUGCGCAGAUAUCAGGAGGAACACCGGUGGCGAAGGCGGAUCUCUGGGCCUUACCUGACGCUCAGGCACGAAAGCUAGGGGAGCGAACAGG
Molecule: ribosomal RNA, 253 nt
Filed under: uncultured bacterium
Lineage: Bacteria
Description: partial 16S ribosomal RNA
Rfam family: Bacterial small subunit ribosomal RNA
Source: RNAcentral